This is a long non-coding RNA of Acanthopagrus latus (yellowfin seabream), 900 nucleotides long. RefSeq lists it as uncharacterized. The transcript is spliced from 2 exons. The record is from RefSeq and is a predicted model, not a curated record. NCBI's taxonomy places the organism in Eukaryota, Metazoa, Chordata, Actinopteri, Spariformes, Sparidae.
UAAUAGGUGAGCUUUGAUUGACAAAAAGAAAUACGAAGUGCAAAAAGCCAAAAUACAAAGUUGAAACACAAAAGCUGAAAAAUAUUUCAACCAAGAGGAGCAAAAUAUAACUUAAGAAAAAGAACAAAAAGCCAGGAACAUACCCCGUGGCAAAACAGGGAGACCAGGGAGAACACUGGAAGACACCAGCGGGAGCAGGCUCAGGUGAAACACACAGGUAUGGGGUGUGACAUAUAACAGAUAUGCAAAUCCCCACACAUGUGUCACUUGAGUUAUGGGUAAGCCAAGGGCAACUUCUGGAGCCCUAAGGAGGGGAGACAAGUGCAAGAGAUGAGAAGUCUUUUGGCAAGCUGUGAGGACGAGGAGAAUUUGAUUGUUUAGAAGAACGACCCAAGCUCAGGUUAACAGUUGAGCCACAGAGCAUGAAGACACCUCCAGGGUCAAAACAGUUCCAUCUUACAAUAAUACACACCUGCUUUGCGAUUGGCCAGAUCUUGUUCAGAGAAAGUGGUUUCAUAUCUCGUUCUUGGAGCAGAUCAUACAGACACCCGUCCAGCAUCUCAAACGCUAAACAGGUUUGUCCCAUAUGUUCAAAGAGCUCAAAGAGCCUCACCACAUUAAUGUGGUCUGGGUUCAGGACACUGAUGACCUCUAACAUGGACAUCUGAUUUUGGCCUUCAAUAACUUUGCCAAAGCGACCUUCACCAAUACAUUCCAGAACAGAGUGACCAGGAGAGCUGCUGACCAGAGCUGGACCUGCCUGAACUCAGGUGCUGACAAUGGGAUCGUGCGAAGAGAUGGUGAACAUGAACAGAAAACAAGUCAAACCUUCAUAGUAAAUCUGUAAGGUUCUUUGAAUAAAGAGAUGUGAGAUGAAUGAGACAAAAUUCUCAAAACCAA